Molecule: ribosomal RNA, 492 nt
Filed under: uncultured bacterium
Lineage: Bacteria
Description: partial 16S ribosomal RNA
Rfam family: Bacterial small subunit ribosomal RNA
Source: RNAcentral
AGUGAACGCUGGCGGUAGGCCUAACACAUGCAAGUCGAACGGCAGCAUAGUAAGAGUUUGCUCUUACGGGUGGCGAGUGGCGGACGGGUGAGGAAUACAUCGGAAUCUACUUUCUCGUGGGGGUAAACGUAGGGAAACUUACGCUAAUACCGCUUAUGACCUACGCGUGAAAGACGAGGAUUUUAGGACGUUUUGCGCUUGCACGAGCCGAUGUCGGAUUAGCUAGUUGGCGGGAUAAAGGCCCACCAAGGCGACGAUCCGUAGCUGAUCUGAGAGGAUGAUCAGCCACACUGGAACUGAGACACGGUCCAGACUCCUACGGGAGGCAGCAGUGGGGAAUAUUGGACAAUGGGCGCAAGCCUGAUCCAGCCAUGCCGCGUGGGUGAAGAAGGCCUUCGGGUUGUAAAGCCCUUUUGUUGGGAAAGAAAAGCAACAGGUUAAUACCCCGCUGUUCUGACGGUACCCAAAGAAUAAGCACCGGCUAACUUCGUG